Molecule: transfer RNA, 85 nt
Filed under: Felis catus (domestic cat)
Lineage: Eukaryota; Metazoa; Chordata; Mammalia; Carnivora; Felidae
Rfam family: tRNA
About the family: Transfer RNA (tRNA) molecules are approximately 80 nucleotides in length. Their secondary structure includes four short double-helical elements and three loops (D, anti-codon, and T loops).
Source: Rfam by way of RNAcentral
GCUUGGGUGGCUCAGUUGGUUGAGCGUCUGACUUCAGCUCAGGUCAUGAUCUCGCGGUCUGUGGGUUCGAGCCCCACGUCGGGCU